GACGAACGCUGGCGGCGUGCUUAACACAUGCAAGUCGAACGGUGAAGCGCUUUCCUUUUUGGUUGGUGUGGAUGAGUGGCGAACGGGUGAGUAACACGUGAGUAACCUGCCCCCUUCUUCUGGAUAACCGCAUGAAAGUGUGGCUAAUACGGGAUAUUCUGCGCCUGCUGCAUGGUGGGUGUGGGAAAGAUUGUGCCUUUGGGUGUUUUCGGUGGGGGAUGGGCUCGCGGCCUAUCAGCUUGUUGGUGGGGUGAUGGCCUACCAAGGCGGUGACGGGUAGCCGGCCUGAGAGGGUGGACGGUCACACUGGGACUGAGACACGGCCCAGACGCCUACGGGAGGCAGCAGUGGGGAAUAGUGCACAAUGGGCGCAAGCCUGAUGCAGCGACGCCGCGUGAGGGAUGGAGGCCUUCGGGGUGUGAACCUCUUUCGCCAGUGAAGCAGGCCUGCUCCUUGUGGGUGGGUUGACGGUAGCUGGAUAAGAAGCGCCGGCUAACUACGUG
RNAcentral lists this ribosomal RNA (503 nucleotides) under uncultured bacterium. Its description in RNAcentral is "partial 16S ribosomal RNA". It matches the Rfam family "Bacterial small subunit ribosomal RNA", at positions 28 to 507 of the family's 1533-position model. The record is from RNAcentral.